This 489-nucleotide ribosomal RNA is filed under the name uncultured bacterium. RNAcentral describes it as "partial 16S ribosomal RNA". It matches the Rfam family "Bacterial small subunit ribosomal RNA", at positions 28 to 507 of the family's 1533-position model. The record is from RNAcentral.
GACGAACGCUGGCGGCGUGCUUAACACAUGCAAGUCGAACGGUGAAGGGACCAGCUUGCUGGUUCUGGAUGAGUGGCGAACGGGUGAGUAACACGUGAGUAACCUGCCCCCUUCUUCUGGAUAACCGCAUGAAAGUGUGGCUAAUACGGGAUAUUCUGGGUCUGUCGCAUGGCGGGCCCGGGAAAGAUAUUGCUUCGGUGGGGGAUGGGCUCGCGGCCUAUCAGCUUGUUGGUGGGGGGAUGGCCUACCAAGGCGGUGACGGGUAGCCGGCCUGAGAGGGUGGACGGUCACACUGGGACUGAGACACGGCCCAGACUCCUACGGGAGGCAGCAGUGGGGAAUAUUGCACAAUGGGCGCAAGCCUGAUGCAGCGACGCCGCGUGAGGGAUGGAGGCCUUCGGGUUGUAAACCUCUUUCGCCAGUGAAGCAGGCCUGCUCCUUGUGGGUGGGUUGACGGUAGCUGGAGAAGAAGCGCCGGCUAACUACGUG